This 2632-nucleotide long non-coding RNA is filed under the name Musa acuminata (dwarf banana). Its description in RNAcentral is "long non-coding RNA (MACU_LNC004811)". Lineage: Eukaryota; Viridiplantae; Streptophyta; Magnoliopsida; Zingiberales; Musaceae. The record is from RNAcentral.
AUUUUGUUCUUGUUACCAUGGUGCAUACCAUGUUGCUGUAUCGUGCUUGUUUCAAUCUGCUGCCAAGCUUGUCUUCGCCUUCUGUAAAUUUCAUGUCAAGACUAUUGGAUUUGGUCUGACUGUUUGGUGGCAUCUAUUUGAUCAUUUCUUCUAUUAAAUGAUUUGCCGUUUAUCAACAAUUGAGAUCAACUUAAUUUGGACUUACAUCAUGUAGAUGCUUGUGGCCUUUUCUAUAUUUCUUUAAAUGUACCAUGACUUCGGUUUCUGCUUUCCUUCUCCUGUGAUUUGAACCACGGAGAUCAACUCUAAGUGUCAUUCCAUGUCAGUUUGCGUGAAAGUUCGGCUAGUACAAUACUACAAUUGCUUGUAAAUAAUAAGCUAGUGGCCCAUCAUCUGUCAACAUAUUUCAAAUUUGAUCACUGCACAGUAGAGAAGAAACAAUGUGUUUACUUUUUUCACAUCUUGUUUUGGGCUAAUGUGUCUUUGCAUGAAUCGGCCAUGCUAGUUAGUUAGCAAAAGUCAACUAAAAAUGUGUUAACUAACUAAUUUAGUUAGCAAAAGUCAACUAAAAAUGAUUUGAAUCAUCGAAUCGAAUUUACAUUUCUCAAAUAUGGAACCAUUGGCAAGGCGCCUUCUAAAUGAAAUUUGUGCAUGUUAAUUGAUGUAAACAAAGAUAAACAUUAAAUUUAUUUAUGGUUCAAAGUAAAUACUCGGUUCUAAGGAAUUACAAAGUUCACACAUAUCAUAUAGUAUUGAUACGAAAGCAAAAAAUAAACAAAUAAAGUCAAAUUCCAUAUUAUAUUUUUCAUUUACACGUGGAUUUUAUUAAAGAUAGAUUCCACAUAAAAAAGUUAUUAAAUAAUGAAUUUCCGGGGGAAAAGCCUCUCACGUACCUAACCAAUUCGUUUUUUUAGAGUUGGCACUCCAUUUGUCAUUUGUUAAUGUUAAAUUGAUCUUCAAAUGUAACUAGAAAACUAAGUUCUCAAGAAAAAAUAUUCAUGUACAUGUGCAUUUGUUUUAGGUAGAUUCAUGUACAAAGCAAAUAUGCAUAUCAUUCGUGAAUAGUAGUUUAGUCGGUCAUUUUCUAGCAAGUAAAUUAAGAUAAAACAAAAAACAAAAACUACUGGUUCAGAUUGUAUAACCCCAAGCAAAUCUCAGCAAUCGUAUAUCGGACUAGUGCCGCACACAGAUAUAAAAUAGAUUUUGAAAAACGAUAAAAUAAAAAAAAACAAGACAAAACAAAACUGAUGCGUGCAGCAUGAACAAAUGGCAUUACCUACAAACAAUGUGUAACAAACGCUCGUGUUUAAUUUCGUAUCCAAAGAAAAACCUAUGACCCACAGACCAACAUAUAGAAUGUUAAAUAGAACAAAUAUAUUGAGAAAUUCAGUAGCAAAUGUAUAUAGAAUAAUUCUGAAAAGAACAUAAUAAAAAUCAAAUGGCGUUGCUCCUUGACCAUCGCUUCAAGGACGUAAUUACCCUAAACAGCAAAACUGGUACGGCAAAUUGGAACCAUCAAUUGAAAACAUACAAGUCCACGCAUGCGAAAAUGACGACCGAAACAAUCAACCUUUAAUCUAAUUUGUGAGAGCUGACAAACUACACCUCAGUGAUAUGAUAUGGUGGAGAAAACUGGACCGCUGGAUUAUUAUGGAUAGAUCGAGUUCUAUAUACAUCUACACUCGAGAUGAAGCGAUAGAGAGAAUCAGAACACCCGGGAAGUAAAUCGACUAUCUCGCCCCUCCCCACAAGCACACAAAGAAUGAAUGGACUGCCAUGCGAACGCACUCAACAUAAAUAGCAAAAGUAUUAUUUGUCUCAAGAUCCUCCAGUUUAGUUCCCGUGUCGCAACAAAUACCCCGUUCCGUAUCUUACUAAUUUCCCCCAACGAAGAACUUGACCUAAGCUAUCCAUUGACGACCAUGUACUUCUCAUGUUGUCACUACUCUUCAUGUUCUUGGACCAAGAUCACCAAUCCAAAUUCCACGGAUUUAGGGCAACACGAAUGAGACAGAAAUACUAUCUCAUUCGUGACUGUUUGGCGCCUUGGAUAGAACCUUUGCACCGAAACCUAGCGUAGCAACCCAUCAAAAAGAUCUACCAGAGAUAAUUAGUACAAGGCAAGAAAUGCUGAUCCACUUGCGAAUCCACCAAGAAAUGCGAGUCCCCGACUCACUGCACUGAAUUCGUGAAAAGAAGCAGAACUAACGAAUUUCCGCUUGGAUAGUGGAAAGUGAACUACAAGAAUUCCAUCACGAAUGUGCAAACUGCUAUAACAGAUCGGUCCAUGAGUAGAGACCAAGCCACCCAAGAGAAAAAUAAUAAAGAGACGAAUCCACCAACAAAUCGGCAAAAACUCACCGUGAUUCUCACCGAAAAGAGAGGAAAAGGAAAAUCAGAUCCGGAAAUCGGAGUAACAACAAUACAAUGUUAUAAAGAUCCAAGAAAUGAACGGGAAAAAGAGCCAAGAAAGGGAAAACCUAACCAAGUAGCCAGGAACAUCUUGGAAUUGAAAUCUACCUCAGAGAAGUCCGCCGAAAUCAGAUCGACGAGGAAAAAAAAGCCUUUCCAUGGCAAAACCAAAGAACGACAAACCCCGCGAGCCCCGCCCGAAGAGAGAGAGAGAGAGACG